Molecule: long non-coding RNA, 620 nt
Filed under: Vigna radiata
Lineage: Eukaryota; Viridiplantae; Streptophyta; Magnoliopsida; Fabales; Fabaceae
Description: long non-coding RNA (VRAD_LNC012827)
Source: RNAcentral
AAUUUAACUAAGACGGUCAGAGAGUUAAGUGGAAGAUUUGAUAAAUUCUUUAAAAAUUAUGAAUCUCAGUUAAAUAGUAAUCAAGCAAGCUUCAAAUCAUUGGAGUCACAGAUUGGUCAGUUGUCGAAAAGGAUCGAAACCACCGAGAAGCACCAGUUUCGGGCUAACACUGAUGUUAACCCCAAAGAAGAGUGCAGAGUUGUUAUAGCAGAAGAAAGCACGUCGGAUGCUAAUUAUUCUGAUAAUUGUAAUGUUUUGCAGGCACUAGUGAAUAAAAGCAGAAGAACCAUUCACCUAAAAGCAAGAGAAGAACCACUCCGACGGGGAAGCAAAGUGAAAUAUAAAAGGAAGGAGUGGAUAAUAAAGGAGCUGAAAGAGAAAGGGGCUGUGGAAAUUAAAGCACCGUACAAUAGACAGCUCAAGAGAGUGGACAGAAGACAAUCGAGUCGGUGGAACGAUGAGGAUCCCAAAGUAAAUAAAUAGAGUUGAUUUGCUGGACAUCAUUUUUUGUAUUUUUAAGAACAAUUUUCAUUUUCCGUGAUUUUCAUUCUUACUUUCUUUAGAACUUGUAAAUUUUGAAUUUUUGGAACAAUUUUUGGGUAGCAUCUACUGUGGAUGCU